AGAGUUUGAUCCUGGCUCAGAUUGAACGCUGGCGGCAUGCCUUACACAUGCAAGUCGAGCGGCAGCGCGGGGGCAACCCUGGCGGCGAGCGGCGGACGGGUGAGUAAUACAUCGGAACGUGUCCUUUCGUGGGGGAUAACCAGUCGAAAGACUGGCUAAUACCGCAUGAGAUCUCACGAUGAAAGCGGGGGACCCGUAAGGGCCUCGCGCGAUUGGAGCGGCCGAUGUCGGAUUAGCUAGUUGGCGGGGUAAAAGCCCACCAAGGCAACGAUCCGUAGCUGGUUUGAGAGAACGACCAGCCACACUGGGACUGAGACACGGCCCAGACUCCUACGGGAGGCAGCAGUGGGGAAUUUUGGACAAUGGGGGCAACCCUGAUCCAGCCAUGCCGCGUGUGUGAAGAAGGCCUUCGGGUUGUAAAGCACUUUCGGCCGGAACGAAAUCGCGCGGGCUAUUACCCCGCGUGGAUGACGGUACCGGAAGAAGAAGCACCGGCUAACUACGUGCCAGCAGCCGCGGUA
This 521-nucleotide ribosomal RNA is filed under the name uncultured Pseudomonadota bacterium. RNAcentral describes it as "bacterial SSU rRNA". It matches the Rfam family "Bacterial small subunit ribosomal RNA", at positions 8 to 522 of the family's 1533-position model. Lineage: Bacteria; Pseudomonadati; Pseudomonadota. The record is from RNAcentral.